Molecule: transfer RNA, 71 nt
Filed under: Loxodonta africana (African savanna elephant)
Lineage: Eukaryota; Metazoa; Chordata; Mammalia; Proboscidea; Elephantidae
Rfam family: tRNA
About the family: Transfer RNA (tRNA) molecules are approximately 80 nucleotides in length. Their secondary structure includes four short double-helical elements and three loops (D, anti-codon, and T loops).
Source: Rfam by way of RNAcentral
GCAGUGGUGGUUCAGCGGUAGAAUUCUGACUCUCCGUGCAGAAGACCCAGGUUCGAUUCCCGGCCAAUGCA